Setaria italica (foxtail millet) is the source of this 4434-nucleotide long non-coding RNA. RefSeq lists it as uncharacterized. The transcript has 2 exons. NCBI's taxonomy places the organism in Eukaryota, Viridiplantae, Streptophyta, Magnoliopsida, Poales, Poaceae. The record is from RefSeq and is a predicted model, not a curated record.
UAGCAUUAAAUCCAUGAAAUACCUAUUCAAAUACAUAUACAAGGGCCAUGACAGAGCGUCUGUGGCUGUUAGGGAGGCUGGAAAAAAAGAUGACAAGGGGAACGUUGAUGAGAUCACGCAGUACAGAGAGGCCCGGUGGGUGACACCUCCAGAAGUGAUGUGGAGGAUAUAUAGCUUGGACUUGAGCAAGAACCAUCCACCAGUGCAGCAGUUGCAGCUUCAUCUUCCCGACAUGCAUAUGGUUACAUAUCAUAAACGGGACAAGAUCGAACAGGUUGUCAAGCAUCCAGGUGCCGACGAGUCAAUGCUAACAGCGUACUUUGACUACAACAAGCUUCAUGAGGAAGCUCGAGGAAUCUUGUACCAUGACUUUCCGGAGCAUUAUACUUGGGAGUCUAAUGGUAAAUUUUGGAAACCAAGGAAAAAUGUCGUAUACCAAGUUGGGAUACUCGUAUUGGCUCAUCCGGCUGAGGGGGAACGCUACUUUCUUUGGGUUCUCCUAAACCAUGUUGCUGGGGCUACUUCAUACAGGGACCUAAGGACUGUUGACGGUGUGCUCCUGCCCUCAUUCUGUGAAGCUGCGGAGAGGCGAGGCCUAAUCGAAGAAGAUAAUAUACUUGAUGAGUGUCUUACUGAAAACAGUUUGUUCUAUAUGCCAUCCUCAUUGCGUAGGUUAUUCGCGACAAUAUUGGUAUUCUGCGAGCCAAAUGAUGUGUUUGGGUUGUGGACAAAACACCUUGACGCAAUGUCAGAAGACUAACAGGCGCAACAAUCCAAACCCGAGUCUGGUGGAACAGAUGGUUUUGAUUGACAUUAGGAAUAUGUUGCAAUCUAUGGGGAAGGACAUAAGAUCAUUCCCUCUUCCAGGAAUUGACGACGCAUAUGACGAUGCUAGCGGUAUCCCUCGUGAGAUAUUUGAGGAGGCAAGCAUUGAUCAGAAUUCGGAAGAUGUGGGACUAUCUGAUUCCCUAAACGAGGAGCGGAGGGCUGCCUAUGAAGAGAUAAUGUCCAAAGUGGACACCAAACAAGGCGGUUUGUUCUUUGUAGAUGGACCUGGCGGCACAGGAAAGACAUUUUUGUACAAGGCACUUCUCGGAACCCUUCGCAAUCAGAACAAGUUUGCCAUUGCUACAGCUCCAUCUAGUGCCGCAGCGUCUAUAAUGCCUGGUGGGAGGACGGCCCACUCACGUUUCAAGAUACACCUUACUCUUGAGGAUGGUGGUUGUUGUAGUUUUACCAAAUAGAGUGGUACUAAAAAGCUAUUGCAGCAAGCAUCUCUCAUCAUUUGGGAUGAGGCGUCUAUGGCAAAGAGGCAAGCUAUAGAAGCCCUAGACAACAGCCUACGUGAUAUAAUGGGCCGACAGGAUCUGCUGUUCGGUGGGAACACUGCUGUCUUAGGAGGGGAAUUCAGACAGGUUCUCCCUGUUGUACGGAAAUGAUCUAGGGCCCAGAUAGUCGAUGCUUCUCUACGGAGGUCGUAUCUUUGGGAAUCCAUGCACCACCUUAAGCUCGUGCGCAACAUGAGGGCGCAGAGUGACCCGUGGUUUGUAGAAUAUCUACUGCGCAUUGGUGGUGACACGGAGGAGGUUAACGGAGAUGGUGAUGUAUGUCUUCCUGACGGUAUAUGUGUCCCGUACUCUGGGGAUUCUGAGAAAGAUCUUGACAGGUUGAUUGAAUGCAUCUUUCCAAACCUCAAUGCAAACAUGACAAACAAGGACUACAUCACCUCCAGAGUGAUUCUAUCCACACGUAAUGAUUGGGUGGACAAUAUUAAUAUGAAGAUGAUCGACAUGUUCCAGGGUGGGGAGAUGGUGUACCAUAGUUUCGACUCCGCGAUUGAUGAUCCGUAUAACUACUAUCCGUCGGAGUUCCUUAACACAUUGACUCCCAACGGGCUUCCUCCACAUUUGCUAAAGUUCAAGAUCGGCUGCCCGGUCAUAUUGCUUAGGAAUAUUGACCCUGCGAAUGGACUGUGCAAUGGUACAAGGCUGGUGGUUCGAGGCUUCCAAAGAAAUUCAAUUGAUGCUGAAAUUGUGCUGGGACAGCAUGCCGGAAAGAGGGUUUUCCUUCCUCGAAUACCGUUGUGCCCCUCUGAUGAUGAGAUGUUCCCAUUCCAAUUUAAGAGGAAGUAGUUCCCUAUUAGGCUCAGUUUCGCCAUGACGGUCAACAAGUCACAGGGCCAAACUAUACCAAAUGUGGGUGUGUACCUGCCUGCCCCUGUGUUCUCUCAUGGUUAGUUGUAUGUUGCUAUGUCUAGAGCCACAGCCAGAAUGAAUAUCAAGAUCCUCGCCCUCCCGCCUAACGCAGAGGUAGACGAGGAACAAACUAAAAAGAAGGAAAAGAAAAAAGCUUAUAAGAAAGUGAAUGGCCAGGGUAAUCAAAAUAACAAUGAACAAAAAGGUACAUCAGUGAAGAAGAAAAUGGUACCAACUGUAGAUGGCACGUCUACGAAGAAUAUUGUAUACAAGGAGGUUCUAACACCAUUGGCGAGGUAAUAUAAUGGUUAUUCGUGCGUGUCUUACAUUUUUCAUUUAUUUUUUAAAAAUUACUGAACUCAUCAAUUCCAUGUUUCUUGCUCUUGCUAGGUAUUUUUAAAUGCUUUGCCGUACCCUGCAUGGAUAAUUUGCAUCCACACGAGCUGCUAAUUAUCAAGUCAAGUGUUUAGGUUGAAGUGAUUGCUUAAUUUUGUCACAUGAUGUCACUGCAUGGGAAAUUCCACCUAUACUGAAAAACUGGAUUACAUUCGAGAAAAUGUGAAAAAUGAUAAAAGUAGAGAAUCUUGACUUGCCUUUAAUAUAGCCAUACAAUUUUCACAUAUAAAACUAUUAAUAUAGCCAUACAAUUUUUCACAUAUAAAACUUAUUUCAAAUAACAGGACAGCUGAUCAGAUUAAAAUUCGCCACAUAUAAAAGCAGCCUUCUCUUACUGGGUCCAUGCUCAUGCUAAGCCGCCUGAGACUAGAUUAGCGACCAGUUGGAAUGCUUGAUACUUAACUUAGAAUAUAUAACAAGUCCACCUUGUACUUUGUAUACCUCAUUUGCUUAACAGCAUAAAUGAGCCAACUUCAUCGGGCGUCCGCCAUCACCAGGAGACAUCAAGGAGCAUCCAUCCAUGCAUGCUUGCAUCUUGGAUGGUGCUAUGGACCAGGCAUCCUACUUCCGUUAGAAUCCCUAUCUGCAUUUGUGUUGGAACAUGGUGCACCAGUUUCUCUUGGUAUAGCUCCUCUUCCUUGUCCUUCAUUUUGCUUAGAGUAGAAAACCUAAUCUUCACAACAUUGUCACUUCUGUUACAAGGGAACUAAAAAAACAUACAUAAGCCAAUAAUCUUAGCUUGCAAUUUCCAUUUUUACCCCUUAUUUUACCUUGCAGAAAAUAGUAAUCCAGUAAGAUGAGCCACCUCCACUUGUUUCCAAGAACUUUUCAAGCCUGCAUAACACUGACAAGUAGAAAAAAUGGUGUAUCUCAACUUGCAUACGAGUCGGCUUAAAGGUAUGUUAUCAGGACAUAUGAAAGUCUAAUGUACGACACGCACGUGAUUAAAAAGAGAUUACAUAGAAAACAUUUAUUAACAAAUGUAACUAAGAAAUCACAAUGUCAACAAUCCAUCGUAUAACUAACGGACUCGUAUGCUGAUUGGUCGUAUACAUCUUUAGACUUUGGUCCUGGGAUGGGUGAGCAGGAGAACAUGUAGUCAUACAAGUAUUCUAUAUAACAAUUUUCACAUAUUGUUUCACUACUCUUAGCAGCUGCAACAAGAUCAGGGAUGAAGGAUGCCCACCUGGCAGGCCACUCAUGUUUUAGGACCUAUUACAAUGCAAGGAUGCCUUGAAAAAUUGAGUUAUACAGAUUGUUUUGGAGAAUUGCCGGAAUAAAGGUUCUUUUGCUUGUCUUGAGCAUUCUAAGCUUCUCCUAGCAUCGUCAGACCCUGAGAUAGUUGUAGCAGCUUUGGAAACUCUUGCUGCAUUGGUGAAAAUAAAUCCUUCAAAGUUGCAUAUGAAUGGAAAGCUAAUUAGCUGUGGAGCUAUAAACACCCAUCUUCUAUCAACUUGUUAAUUUAGGAUACUUCCGCCAGGUCGUGCACUUGCAAGGGGUGCAGGGCCAGCGUCAAGAAGUACACCUCGCUCAAGAACGCCUUUGCCAUCCUCGCUACGGCGGUCGUGGCCACGUCCAUCCUGGCGGCGACCAGGCAGUCGAAGGCUAUCUUGCUGGCGGCGUCGGCCGUGCUAGCCACGGUGUCUUAUGCGUGUGACAUGGUGCUUUCUUUGAUAACAACAAACUUCAUUAGGAAUCAUAGGAUGUUGUAAUGACCGUAGCGGAACUGUAUUUAGUAGGUAUAUGGAAAAUGGAGGAAAGGGCUCCUCUUGCCCUUUGCAUAUUUUUAUCUGAUAAAUGGUUGAUCUUUUGGCAAUCUAAAGCUUCAUGUCAGCAGCAGAUG